This is an RNA transcript of Protopterus annectens (West African lungfish), 2241 nucleotides long. It is a transcript of the gene named potassium channel tetramerization domain containing 7, with no coding region annotated. The transcript is spliced from 5 exons. The record is from RefSeq and is a predicted model, not a curated record. Lineage: Eukaryota; Metazoa; Chordata; Ceratodontiformes; Protopteridae.
GUUGCCACACCUACUUUGAUGUCUUAGUACUAGCACUAGUUAACCUAAAGGGAAUCCCUUCUGCAAAACCAAAUCAGACUGUAUUGCAUCUUGUCUAUUUAUACUGUGAAGCACUAGAUUAGACUAAGAGACGGAGGAAUGGGAGAAUUUGUGCAAGACAGCCAUCUCUGAGACAAAUGAUGAAACUGUGCCAUUGUGGCAUUUCUAGGAUCUGCAGGAUCCAGCAGUGACAAGUCAAGAGGGAUGGUUGUACAUGCAGGUCAGCAGCUGAUGGAAAAUUCAAACAAUGCAAUGUCGACUUCUAAUGCUGGAGAUGAAUUCAGUUUUAUAAAACCAGAUUCUCUUAAUACAAGUAGUGUUUUGCAUCCCUUGAAGGACAAUUUAGAAGAGUUUCCUGAAGUAGUCUCCCUUAAUGUGGGUGGUAUGUAUUACACCACAAGAUUAUCCACAUUGAGACGCUUUGAAGAUUCCAUGCUAGCUGUUAUGUUCAGUGGAAGACAUCGCAUUCCAAAGGACACAGAAGGGCGGUACUUCAUUGAUCGGGAUGGAAAGUAUUUUGGAGAUGUUCUUAAUUUUCUUCGAAAUGGUGAUCUACCCCCGAGAGAACACGUACGAGCAGUAUACAGAGAAGCACAAUAUUAUUCCUUAGGACCACUACAGGAUACCCUAGAAGAAGUUCAGCCCCUUGCAGGAGAGAAAGUCAGACAAGCUUUUUUAGACUUAAUGCCAUAUUACAAAGAGAACCUUGAAAGAAUAAUUGAAAUUGCCAAACUCAGGGCUAUGCAAAGGAAAGCAAGAUUUGCAAAACUGAAAAUUUGUGUCUACAAGGAGGAGAUGCCCAUCACACCCUAUGAGUACCCCUUUUUUAACACGGUACGCUUUGAAAGGAGUGAGAGUGAGUCAAAGCUGUUUGAACAUCACUGUGAGGUAGAUGUGUCCUUUGGGCCAUGGGACGCUGUGGCUGAUGUUUAUGACCUCCUGCACUGUAUAGAUACUGACUUAGCAACCAGAGGCAUCACUGUGGAACACCAGUGCAUUGGUGUGUGUGAUAAGCAUCUUAUAAACCAUUACUACUGUAAGCGGCCUAUCUAUGAAUUCAAGAUAACAUGGUGGUGAUAGGACCUAAAUGGAGGGAAUUCUGUAAUCUGGCUCAUCAACGCUACCUUUACAGAGUGAAACUUCACUCUGUGAGUUUUUUUCCUGAUACAAAUAACUGCUGAAAGAUAGCAAAAGUAUGGAAUUAAGAGCUUUACCAGCAAUAUUUCAAUGACAAUUUUGCUGAGCAAAAUAGAAGCUUUAAGUCAUUCUUCCAGUGUUCAGUUUUGCAGACUGUUAUGGCGAUAAAACAGAUUGUCUUCAUUUGAAUCAUGACCAGCUGGCAAAGACUUUUUGUUUUCAGAUUUUUCUCUUCAAACAGAUGCUCUUACUAUAGCUAGCGCUCCUGUCUGUUAGCAACAGGGAAUAAAGUCAUGUGCACCUGAUAACUAAUCCUAAUGUAGAAUUAGCAGACAAGAUCUUCAGCUUGAAACCCAGCAUUUGCUGAGAAUUACAAACUGUAAUAAUAUCCAAAUAAAAUCCAGUGACAUGAUGUCUGAAGACAGUAAUGAAACAUGACAGUCAACAAAAAGAAGCUUUUCAGCACUACCAGAAGAACUUCCUUCCUACUGCUGAAACUUCAAAAUGUACUUAGCACUUAGGUUAAUUUAAAUUAAUGUGGUCUGUCAAAUACACCCAUGCAUUAUGUAUGUACAUUUAUUUGGCACGCACAAGUAAUUUGUAACAUCUCAUAUCUUUAGCACACCACAUGUAUGAUGUGAGAAAACAUAUUUGAAGCAGAAAUCUAUGUAUAUCAUGCAAUAUAACAUGAUGUUUGUACAUUAGAUCUCAUCUUUACUUAAAAUUUUGUGUUCUUCAGUUUUUCCUAGGUUUUUGUGAAUUUAAUUCAUUAAGUUUCAGUAUUGGAUGACAGAGCAAUAGAGGCAAACAUGUAUUUUUUUCUUCUUUUGUAAUAAUAACUUAUGACUUACAGUCUUAAAUGUAUGCCUUAGGUAUACACUUUCAAGAACCAUCAGCUAUUCAAAGGCCCAACUACUGUAAUAUUUUAUUAACUUGCUUGUUUACACCUUCUGUCAUAAAUGGAAGAAAAUGCACCUUGGAGGUCUGUAUUAGUGUUUCAUUGUCAUUAUUAGGAUUUGUUAUAAUAAUUAAUAUAUAAAUAAAACUCAUUUGGAAACAUUGUCA